Molecule: non-coding RNA, 78 nt
Organism: Rhamnusium bicolor
Lineage: Eukaryota; Metazoa; Arthropoda; Insecta; Coleoptera; Cerambycidae
Source: the annotation of a GenBank genome assembly
GGCAUGGCAGCUGAGUGGGUAAAGCACUUAUAUCUUACUCGGUACCGAAGGUCAAUGGUUCGAUUCCAUUCUGCGGCA